Molecule: ribosomal RNA, 515 nt
Filed under: uncultured bacterium
Lineage: Bacteria
Description: partial 16S ribosomal RNA
Rfam family: Bacterial small subunit ribosomal RNA
Source: RNAcentral
GAUGAACGCUGGCGGCGUGCCUAAUACAUGCAAGUCGAGCGAAUGGAUUAAGAGCUUGCUCUUAUGAAGUUAGCGGCGGACAGGUGAGUAACACGUGGGUAACCUGCCCAUAAGACUGGGAUAACUCCGGGAAACCGGGGCUAAUACCGGAUAACAUUUUGAACCGCAUGGUUCGAAAUUGAAAGGCGGCUUCGGCUGUCACUUAUGGAUGGACCCGCGUCGCAUUAGCUAGUUGGAGAGGUAACGGCUCACCAAGGCAACGAUGCGUAGCCGACCUGAGAGGGUGAUCGGCCACACUGGGACUGGGACACGGCCCAGACUCCUACGGGAGGCAGCAGUAGGGAAUCUUCCGCAAUGGACGAAAGUCUGACGGAGCAACGCCGCGUGAGUGAUGAAGGCUUUCGGGUCGUAAAACUCUGUUGUUAGGGAAGAACAAGUGCUAGUUGAAUAAGCUGACACCUUGACGGUACCUAACCAGAAAGCCACGGCUAACUACGUGCCAGCCGCCGCAGUAA